GAUGAACGCUGGCGGCGUGCCUAAUACAUGCAAGUCGAGCGAACAGACGAGGAGCUUGCUCCUCUGACGUUAGCGGCGGACGGGUGAGUAACACGUGGAUAACAUCCCUAUAGGACUGGGAUACCUUCGAGAAACCGGAGCUAAUACCGGAGAAUAUAUUGAACCGCAUAGUUCAAUAGUGCAAGACGGUGUUGCCGUAACUUAUAGAUGGAUCCGCGCCGCCUUAGCUAGUUGGUAAGGUAACGGCUUACCAAGGCAACGAUGCUUAGCCGACCUGAGAGGGUGAUCGGCCACACUGGAACUGAGACACGGUCCAGACUCCUACGGGAGGAAGCAGUAGAGAAUCUUACGCAAUGGGCGAAAGCCGGACGGAGCAACGCCGCGUGAGUGAUGAAGGUGUUCGGAUCGUAAAACUCUGUUAUUAGUGAAGAACAAAUGUGUAAGUAACUAUGCACGUCUUGACGGUACCUAAUCAGAAAGCCACGGCUAACUACGUG
This 497-nucleotide ribosomal RNA is filed under the name uncultured bacterium. RNAcentral describes it as "partial 16S ribosomal RNA". It matches the Rfam family "Bacterial small subunit ribosomal RNA", at positions 28 to 507 of the family's 1533-position model. The record is from RNAcentral.